RNAcentral lists this ribosomal RNA (541 nucleotides) under uncultured bacterium. RNAcentral describes it as "bacterial SSU rRNA". It matches the Rfam family "Bacterial small subunit ribosomal RNA", at positions 458 to 999 of the family's 1533-position model. The record is from RNAcentral.
ACCCUGUGUGGAUGACGGUACCGGAAUAAGAAGCACCGGCUAACUACGUGCCAGCAGCCGCGGUAAUACGUAGGGUGCGAGCGUUAAUCGGAAUUACUGGGCGUAAAGCGUGCGCAGGCGGUUUGGUAAGUCAGAUGUGAAAUCCCCGGGCUCAACCUGGGAACUGCAUUUGAGACUGCCAAGCUGGAGUUUGGCAGAGGGGGGUGGAAUUCCACGUGUAGCAGUGAAAUGCGUAGAGAUGUGGAGGAACACCGAUGGCGAAGGCAGCCCCCUGGGCCAAUACUGACGCUCAUGCACGAAAGCGUGGGGAGCAAACAGGAUUAGAUACCCUGGUAGUCCACGCCCUAAACGAUGUCAACUAGGUGUUGGGAGGGUUAAACCUUUUAGUGCCGUAGCUAACGCGUGAAGUUGACCGCCUGGGGAGUACGGCCGCAAGGCUAAAACUCAAAGGAAUUGACGGGGACCGCACAAGCGGUGGAUGAUGUGGAUUAAUUCGAUGCAACGCGAAAAACCUUACCUACCUUGACAUGUCAGGAAUCCG